CUACAACAACAACUACUACUACUCGGUUAGAAACAUGCGUAAAAGUCAAUCAAACUACAAAACUCAUUAUAUUUUAUUACGAACGGACAUGCAGACCACAUAAUCUUUGCAUUCCCUCCUCCUCGACUUCCUUCUCCACACGCUGCCAAAGAACUGAAUAAAAUUUGAACUGAAUAGGAUGAACAUCAGGAUAUAAUGUAUAAUCUAUUUUCACACACACACACACACACACAGACACACACACACACACACACACGAAUGUCCUGUUAGAAGUAGUGCUUUCACCUGCAAGAAACCAUUCCACAGAAAACGGUAUGUAAAAAUUGACUUUUACAUUGAUUUAAUUUUCUAUUUUUCAUCAUACUGAACAGUUUACUCACUUUACAUUUUCAACAUUACUUUAACUCUCAAAUCAUUCUAACAUUCUCUUCAUAACUGAUAAAAACUUCAAUAAUUCUCUAGUGUUUCCACAAAUGCAUUCUUUUAAAAUCUAGAAUUAUUAACAACUUCUAUUGCGUUUUACAUUCAAUUAACAUAUUUUCUCUUCAUGUUUCAAAAUGAUUCAACCUUUAUGAGAAUUACAACUCAUUUCAUUACCAAAUUAACAUCUUUGUUGACUUUUUCCUCUCUCUUCCUCUUUCUAACUGGUGGACACAAGGCUGACACAUUGAUGCUCAGCAAGUUUCCAUGACGACCUUGUUUUGAGGCUUAAAGAACUCUCCUCUCUUUAACUUUAAGUAUUUUUCAAGUACUCUGAUCUUCACAAUGCCGGUCAUUUUUUUUUCCUUCCAAUAAACAAAUAUACGAAGCAAAUACCUAACUCAAACCAUUAAAAUCAAGCCCGAUCAUCAAAGAAAGCACAAACAGACAGGAAAUAUUCUAUUGUGUACCACUUCUAGUAAAAGCAAUAAUAUUUGUAAACAAAGUGCCAUGCAUUGCAACAUUACACCAUACAUAACAUAACUAAGAUUGUUAGUAUAAUCUGUGAAGUGAUACCAAAAGACACUGAAUAACUUUCCAGUCAUGAUUAGUGAUAGUGUUGCAGUGCAAGAAAACCUACAAUAAAGUCAGUAUAUAUAGUCAUAGCCAAAAGCAGAGCAGUAUUCACACUCAUUACUACUGUUCAAUGCUUUCCCUCACUCUGAAGGCCUUGCUAAUCUGACAAUGUUGAGACAUGAUAGAUUCUUAGCAGGACUUUGGACAAAGGGAAAACAGUAUAGCAGUGGAAGCAACUGUGGUGUUAGCAACUCGACUUCUGACAAUCACUACAUUAAGUCAUCAAGUCAUCAAGUCUUGUAUCUACAAUAUUGGAUCCAUUGCAACUCUUCUCUCUAGUCCAAUCUUUGGUGUCAUACUAUUCGCAGUGAACUGUUUGAUGUGGCAAAAUAACAGUUUAAAGCCUACCAUACGAGAUCUGCCAGCGCUGGUCUUGUGCAGUAUGUAUACAGUAAGUAACCUUCACUGAAAAAUGGUACACAAUUUAUAAAGCUAAAAUAUCAUUGCUUCACAGUUCACAUGUUUGUUUAAUAGAGAUAUAAAUACAAUACUAACAACAAUAAUGUUUGAGAUUACAGCUGGUUAGAUAGUUUAAUGCCAUUUAUAGAAAAAUUGAAAUAGUACUGAAGAAAAAAGGGAGGCUGUUUAUCGAGACUGGAUGCCCUAACAAACUUGACUUAGUCCUUGGUCAUAUUAAGAUCUCUGGAAACAUCCAUGAGAACAAGGCAAGUUUUCAUAGGUACUCCAUUUUUCAUAAUUCAUUUGUCAUGCCAAAUAAACUUCCUACCUUCCUCAAAAACUACCCCAUUCCAAAUUGCUGUCAUAAGUGGGGACAUGAAAGUAUGCCCCAGGAUCAAGAGAAUAACUCUUUAAUGAACGGUGGUUAUGCCACACCCAGAAAGUACUAUAUGAGACACCCUCCGAACUAGAGGUUUGAGUGGUAAUGUUAUGCUGGGGAUACGUCGUAAUGUUUGUGUGCCAGACAUGAUGAGACCUUCAUGCAUCCCUUACUUAAUUUCCUCACAUAAAAAGUUUCAUUGGUUCACACAUUUUCCUAUGGUUCCAAUAGUGUAAAGUUCCCAAUAGUAUGACUAAAUAUUGUUACUACUAUUUUUUAUCUGCUGUUGGAAAAGUACCAUCAAAAUCAUUAUUUGACUUUGAAAUGGUAUGAACCCAUAGCAAAGCUCUAACUAACAUUUCUGGGACAGGUAUGGUCAGAUGGAGUGAAAUGCCACACUGACUUCCUGCUCUGCUUGGCUGCAGAAACAUGACUCAAAGUAGAGCUUUUGACAGGAAAUGAUGCAGAUUUUCAAAAGGUAUCCAACAACAGACAAAAUCAGGUUAAUCAGUAAUAUUAAUAUAUAUCUUAAACAUAAGAAUAAGAACAUUCAGUGAGGCUUUAAUAUUGUAACCUCAAAAGAAUUCAAUGACAACAGUAAGACUGGUUUUGAAGAAAGUGAUCAGUCUCUCCACGCAUUCACCAUUAUAAUAACUGUUAAGACUAAAAAUCAGAUAGCAUAGUAUGUGCCCUAUCCUAGGCUUAUACAAACUCUUCCAGAUUCACAACUAAACAUAGCUAAUUAAUAAGUAUAAAGUGAAAGUAAAAGAAAAAAAUAAUGUUAUAAAAUUUCCUCAUGACAUUUUUCUGUCAUGAAAUCACCAAUGUAUUAUGUACUUUAAACAAAAUAAAGAUACAAUUUUAGUACAAGAGUAACUAGAGUUCAUAAUAUACUCAUCCUUAUUGAAGAUAAUCAAGCUGAUGCAGUGUUACUGAAAGAGUUGUUGAUACUUGAAGCUCCUGGCAAAUUAAAUUGCAGGUAUGCUAAAAUUCACAAGAAAAUCCCAAACUAUCCUUUAUGCCCACACCUCCAGGCACACUUAUAAAUAAUCAGGAGAGAGAGAGAGAGAGAGAGAGAGAGAGAGAGAGAGAGAGAGAGAGAGAGAGAGAGAGAGAGAGAGAGAGAGAGAGAGAGACUAUGCUCCUGACCAAACAUACUCAAUCUUUAACAGUGAUGAAGGAAGCUGAACUGUUCCAUCACUGCACUCUGAGCAUCCACAGUUUCCUCCAUAACCUUCCAUUGCAGCUUCUCAAGCAUCAAGGCUUAACUUCUUUUCAUCACUCUCUUUCUCUUUUUCUUUCUCACUCUUUAUUUUUUAUUAUUUUUUUUUUUACUUUUCUUUAUUAAUUUCUAUGAAACAGAAAUGAGUUCUUAUAAUUUUACUAUUUAUAUUAUUCCUUAAUAUUCCUAUCAAGGAACAAUAUAAACAGUUGAAUGUUUUACUAAUCUGUUAUUCUUUUUAAAGAUUUAUUUUUUAUUUACUUAUUUAAGUUUUUUUACAAUGAAAGCAUGUCUCACUGACAUGGGAUGACUGUACAAAUACAAAUGUGCAUUGUGGAUUUGCAUUUAUCUUGCUUAUCACUGCUUUUGUAAAAUGUUAUCACAGAAAAGAUAUUCAAUCUGACUUAGUGAAAGGCCAAAGAUGAGUCCUGAAUGUGUGUGUGUGUGUGUGUGUGUGUGUGUGUGUGUGUGUGUGUGUGUGUGUGUGUGUGUGUGUGUGUGUGUGUGUGUGUGUGUGUGUGUGUGUGUGUGUGUGUGUGUGUGUGUGUGU
Long non-coding RNA from Portunus trituberculatus (swimming crab), 3606 nucleotides. RefSeq lists it as uncharacterized. Lineage: Eukaryota; Metazoa; Arthropoda; Malacostraca; Decapoda; Portunidae. The transcript has 2 exons. The record is from RefSeq and is a predicted model, not a curated record.